GACGAACCGUGCGAACGUUAUUCGGAAUCACUGGGCUUAAAGCGCGUGUAGGCGGGCCGCCGCGUCGGCUGCUGAAAUCCCCCGGCUCAACCGGGGAACGGGCACCGAUACGGGCGGCCUCGAGGGGGGUAGGGGGGUCUGGAACUUCCGGUGGAGCGGUGAAAUGCGUUGAGAUCGGAAGGAACGCCCGUGGCGAAAGCGAGGCCCUGGACCCUUUCUGACGCUGAGACGCGAAAGCCAGGGGAGCGAACGGG
Molecule: ribosomal RNA, 254 nt
Filed under: uncultured bacterium
Lineage: Bacteria
Also listed under: 1 other name
Description: partial 16S ribosomal RNA
Rfam family: Bacterial small subunit ribosomal RNA
Source: RNAcentral